GACGAACGCUAGCGGCGUGCUUAACACAUGCAAGUCGAACGGAAAGGCCCUGCUUUUGUGGGGUGCUCGAGUGGCGAACGGGUGAGUAACACGUGAGUAGCCUGCCCUUGACUUUGGGAUAACUUCAGGAAACUGGGGCUAAUACCGGAUAGGAGCUCCUGCUGCAUGGUGGGGGUUGGAAAGUUUCGGCGGUUGGGGAUGGACUCGCGGCUUAUCAGCUUGUUGGUGGGGUAGUGGCUUACCAAGGCUUUGACGGGUAGCCGGCCUGAGAGGGUGACCGGCCACAUUGGGACUGAGAUACGGCCCAGACUCCUACGGGAGGCAGCAGUGGGGAAUAUUGCACAAUGGGCGGAAGCCUGAUGCAGCAACGCCGCGUGCGGGAUGACGGCCUUCGGGUUGUAAACCGCUUUCGCCUGUGACGAAGCGUGAGUGACGGUAAUGGGUAAAGAAGCACCGGCUAACUACGUG
This 468-nucleotide ribosomal RNA is filed under the name uncultured bacterium. RNAcentral's name for it is "partial 16S ribosomal RNA". It matches the Rfam family "Bacterial small subunit ribosomal RNA", at positions 28 to 507 of the family's 1533-position model. The record is from RNAcentral.